This 1653-nucleotide long non-coding RNA is filed under the name Heterocephalus glaber (naked mole-rat). RNAcentral describes it as "lncRNA (ENSHGLG00100029761.2)". Lineage: Eukaryota; Metazoa; Chordata; Mammalia; Rodentia; Bathyergidae. The record is from RNAcentral.
GGGAGGGGAGGGGGAAGGGGCGGAGGCUGAACCGUUGGCAUCCUGGCUUUGCUGGUUCCCAGUUGUGACCUUGGACAAGUUACUUUACUUUUCUGAUUCAAUGUCUUUGUAAAAUAAAGAUAAAGCCAGCAGGGCUGAUUUACAACUCAGCGACUGCAGAGGCGGACCCCACGUUCAGCACACUCUGCGGCGGCGUGGUAAAUGCCCUCCAACUGGAAGUUGGGGCACUGGCUUCGCCCGACCGCGGCGGCGGAGCAGGCCUUGGCCAGACGCGGUGCUGCCACCCAGCGGUCCCCAGCGGAGUCGCUCUGCGCGUCCGUCCCUUAGGGGCUGGAGAUGGGAGGACAGUUCAGAAAAGUUCAGAGACUGCCUAAGAAGGUGCUCCGGGGAUAGAAGUAGAAAGGAGCAGAGAAGUCAUCUUGUUGUCGUGUUAUUUAUUCUACCGAGGGGGAAAAAUGCCACCCUGAGAAGCAAAGUGACUCCUGGGAGAGGCUGCUGGUCACUCCUGGUUCAGGACAAUGAGCUGCUUGCAAAAUCAUUCCCUUCGUUUUGCCCCACAAUGAAGCCUCACAAGCUCUCUAGAUCUGACUGGCUAUUCAAGGGAAGGACAGAUGGAACAGCGGAGGAGGCUGUCUUAACUUCUGAGGUCUGCUCUUCAGUGCCAUUUCUAACCUCUCAGACACUGACCUAAGCUAAGGACAAUAUUUGUGCUUUUCUAAGAAGGUGGUAAAAUAUUUGCACUUGGAAAUACAGAGCGAUAACACUUUAAUGUGGACUAACCUUAUCGGGAUUAGGUAAAUACAGCCAAAGCAAAACAAAAAGUAUUUUAGAAACUGGGACCAACGCAAACAAAUGUAUAGAAAACACUUUUGAAGGGCACCUAGUUCUAAUUAACAUUUGUAUUUAUGAAUGACCUUAGUUAUCGCCCCUAAAUAAAGUAUUUGUUGUACACUGCAGAGAGAGUCAGUGGCCCCACCCUUCCACAGGUCACAAAGUUUUGCAUUUCUGUCAAAGUAGCUGGACUGCGGAGCAGCUUUUAAUCAGAUAUAUGGACCACCACUGGAAAAUCAGACCCAGGUUCCUUUUCUAACCCUUAAUGCUGAGCUGGGUGACAUUCACACUCUGCCCCCAAUCCUGAUGUCAAAGACUAAGAUUUUUUUUUUUUUUUUUGGUUUGGUACCGGGCAUUGAACUCGGGACCUGUCACUUGCGAGGCAGGUGGCAGAACCACUGAGCUAAAUCCCCGGCCCUAAGAUAUUUUUAAAAAUGUGUUAAAAACACAUAACACGAAAUGUACGAUCAUAACCAUCUUGCAGAUUGCUAGAACUUCACCAUCGCUGCAUAACGGAAAGCCUACCCCUUAAGGGACAAGUGCCCAUCUGCUGGUCCCCCUUCCUGGACAGUCAUAGUCUCCUUUUUCUUUCAAUGAGUUUGGUUCCUUUAGAUACUGAAUGUGUGUGAAGUCAUGCAGUCUUUGUGUUUUUGUGGCUGGCUUAUUUCAUUUAGCCAAAGCCCCUAUGACAUGUGAUGUGCAAGUGAAUGGCUGAGGGCUGGGUCCUGGCUGACGUUCCCAGAAAUGGGUGCCAUACUAGAAAAAUCUACUUGUAAAAGGGGAAAAAUAGCACAUUGGAUUACAUGUGAUCAGGCAUCAUGG